GGGCUGUUAGCUCAUCUGGGAGAGCGCCUGCCUUGCAAGCAGGAGGUGGCGAGUUCGAGACUCGCACGGUCCA
This 73-nucleotide transfer RNA is filed under the name Roseobacter phage DSS3P8. It matches the Rfam family "tRNA". From Rfam's summary of the family: Transfer RNA (tRNA) molecules are approximately 80 nucleotides in length. Their secondary structure includes four short double-helical elements and three loops (D, anti-codon, and T loops). Further hydrogen bonds mediate the characteristic L-shaped molecular structure. tRNAs have two regions of fundamental functional importance: the anti-codon, which is responsible for specific mRNA codon recognition, and the 3' end, to which the tRNAs corresponding amino acid is attached (by aminoacyl-tRNA synthetases). tRNAs cope with the degeneracy of the genetic code in two manners: having more than one tRNA (with a specific anti-codon) for a particular amino acid; and 'wobble' base-pairing, i.e. permitting non-standard base-pairing at the 3rd anti-codon position. The record is from Rfam by way of RNAcentral. Lineage: Duplodnaviria; Heunggongvirae; Uroviricota; Caudoviricetes.